RNAcentral lists this ribosomal RNA (253 nucleotides) under uncultured bacterium. RNAcentral describes it as "partial 16S ribosomal RNA". It matches the Rfam family "Bacterial small subunit ribosomal RNA", at positions 524 to 776 of the family's 1533-position model. The record is from RNAcentral.
UACGGGGGGGGCAAGCGUUGUUCGGAAUUACUGGGCGUAAAGGGCUCGUAGGCGGCCAACUAAGUCGGAUGUGAAAUCCCCAGGCUUAACCUGGGAACUGCGUCCGAUACUGGAUGGCUUGAAUCCGGGAGAGGGAUGCAGAAUUCCAGGUGUAGCGGUGAAAUGCGUAGAUAUCUGGAGGAAUACCGGUGGCGAAGGCGGCAUCCUGGACCGGCAUUGACGCUGAGGAGCGAAAGCCAGGGGAGCAAACGGG